UAAUUCGAUGCCAACGCGAAGAACCUUACCUGGGCUUGACAUCACCCGAAAUCACCCUUUAUACGGUGAGUGCCUCGAUUUAUCGAGGAAUCGUGUGACAGGUGCUGCAUGGCUGUCGUCAGUUCGUGUCGUGAGAUGUUGGGUUAAGUCCCGCAACGAACGCAACCCCUGUCUUUAGUUACCAGCAUUAAGUUGGGGACUCUAGAGAGACUGCCAAGGUGACAACUUGGAGGAAGGUGGGGACGACGUCAAGUCAUCAUGGUCCUUACGUCCAGGGCUAGAAACGUACUACAAUGGUUGGCACAGAGGGGAGCAACACAGCGAUGUGAAGCAAAUCCUUAAAACCAACCUCAGUUCGGAUUGGAGUCUGCAACUCGACNNCNNGAAGUUGGAAUCGCUAGUAAUCGCGGAUCAGCAAUGCCGCGGUGAAUACGUUCCCGGGUCUUGUACACACCGCCCGUCAAGUCAA
This 469-nucleotide ribosomal RNA is filed under the name uncultured bacterium. RNAcentral describes it as "bacterial SSU rRNA". It matches the Rfam family "Bacterial small subunit ribosomal RNA", at positions 947 to 1405 of the family's 1533-position model. The record is from RNAcentral.